GAUGAACGCUAGCGGCAGGCCUAACACAUGCAAGUCGAGGGAGAGGUUACCUUCGGGUCACCAAAACCGGCGCACGGGUGCGUAACGCGUAUACAAUCUGCCUUUCACAUAGGGAUAGCCCGAAGAAAUUUGGAUUAAUACCUAAUGGUAUAUAAGAGCGGCAUCGUUUUUAUAUUAAAGCUACGGUGGUGAAAGAUGAGUAUGCGUUCUAUUAGCUAGUUGGAGAGGUAACGGCUCCCCAAGGCGACGAUAGAUAGGGGUUCUGAGAGGGAUGUCCCCCACACUGGUACUGAGAUACGGACCAGAAUCCUACGGGAGGCAGCAGUGAGGAAUAUUGGACACUGGUGGGAAGACUGAUCCAGCCAUGCCGGGUGCAGGAGGAAGGUCCUAGGGAUUGUAAACUGCUUUUGAAAGGGAAGAAUAAGGAGUACGUGUACUUUGAUGACGGUACCUUACGAAUAAGCAUCGGCUAACUACGUG
RNAcentral lists this ribosomal RNA (480 nucleotides) under uncultured bacterium. RNAcentral describes it as "partial 16S ribosomal RNA". It matches the Rfam family "Bacterial small subunit ribosomal RNA", at positions 28 to 507 of the family's 1533-position model. The record is from RNAcentral.